This 468-nucleotide ribosomal RNA is filed under the name uncultured bacterium. Its description in RNAcentral is "partial 16S ribosomal RNA". It matches the Rfam family "Bacterial small subunit ribosomal RNA", at positions 28 to 507 of the family's 1533-position model. The record is from RNAcentral.
GACGAACGCUGGCGGCGUGCUUAACACAUGCAAGUCGAACGGAAAGGCCCUGCUUUUGUGGGGUGCUCGAGUGGCGAACGGGUGAGUAACACGUGAGUAACCUGCCCUUGACUUUGGGAUAACUUCAGGAAACUGGGGCUAAUACCGGAUAGGAGCUCCUGCUGCAUGGGGGGGGUUGGAAAGUUUCGGCGGUUGGGGAUGGACUCGCGGCUUAUCAGCUUGUUGGUGGGGUAGUGGCUUACCAAGGCUUUGACGGGUAGCCGGCCUGAGAGGGUGACCGGCCACCUUGGGACUGCGAUACGGCCCAGACUCCUACGGGAGGCAGCAGUGGGGAAUAUUGCACAAUGGGCGGAAGCCUGAUGCAGCAACGCCGCGUGCGUGAUGACGGCCUUCGGGUUGUAAACCGCUUUCGCCUGUGACGAAGCGUUAGUGACGGUAAUGGGUAAAGAAGCACCGGCUAACUACGUG